CCCCGGGCUUAACCUGGGAACUGCAUUUGAUACUGGUAGGCUUGAGUGUGGCAGAGGGGGGUGGAAUUCCCCGUGUAGCGGUGAAAUGCGUAGAUAUGUGGAGGAACACCGAUGGCGAAGGCAGCCCCCUGGGCCUUCACUGACGCUCAUGCACGAAAGCGUGGGGAGCAAACAGGAUUAGAUACCCUGGUAGUCCACGCCCUAAACGAUG
This 211-nucleotide ribosomal RNA is filed under the name uncultured bacterium. Its description in RNAcentral is "partial 16S ribosomal RNA". It matches the Rfam family "Bacterial small subunit ribosomal RNA", at positions 601 to 811 of the family's 1533-position model. The record is from RNAcentral.